RNAcentral lists this transfer RNA (92 nucleotides) under Nelumbo nucifera (sacred lotus). It matches the Rfam family "tRNA". From Rfam's summary of the family: Transfer RNA (tRNA) molecules are approximately 80 nucleotides in length. Their secondary structure includes four short double-helical elements and three loops (D, anti-codon, and T loops). Further hydrogen bonds mediate the characteristic L-shaped molecular structure. tRNAs have two regions of fundamental functional importance: the anti-codon, which is responsible for specific mRNA codon recognition, and the 3' end, to which the tRNAs corresponding amino acid is attached (by aminoacyl-tRNA synthetases). tRNAs cope with the degeneracy of the genetic code in two manners: having more than one tRNA (with a specific anti-codon) for a particular amino acid; and 'wobble' base-pairing, i.e. permitting non-standard base-pairing at the 3rd anti-codon position. Lineage: Eukaryota; Viridiplantae; Streptophyta; Magnoliopsida; Proteales; Nelumbonaceae. The record is from Rfam by way of RNAcentral.
CCGACCUUAGCUCAGUUGGCAGAGCGGAGGACUGUAGUUGGUGAAAGCCGUCAGACAUCCUUAGGUCGCUGGUUCGAAUCCGGCAGGUCGGA